RNAcentral lists this unclassified non-coding RNA (329 nucleotides) under soil metagenome. RNAcentral describes it as "partial contains 5.8S ribosomal RNA, internal transcribed spacer 2, and large subunit ribosomal RNA". The stretch from base 1 to 120 matches the Rfam family "5.8S ribosomal RNA", at positions 35 to 154 of the family's 154-position model. The record is from RNAcentral.
GAUGAAGAACGUAGUGAAAUGCGAUAAGUAAUGUGAAUUGCAGAAUUCAGUGAAUCAUCGAAUCUUUGAACGCACAUUGCGCCCCCUGGUAUUCCGGGGGGCAUGCCUGUCCGAGCGUCAUUACAACCCUCAAGCUCAGCUUGGUGUUGGGCCCCGCCGCCCCGGCGGGCCCUAAAGUCAGUGGCGGUGCCGUCCGGCUCCGAGCGUAGUAAUUCUUCUCGCUCUGGAGGUCCGGUCGUGUGCUCGCCAGCAACCCCCAAUUUUUUUCAGGUUGACCUCGGAUCAGGUAGGGAUACCAGCUGAACUUAAGCAUAUCAAUAAGCGGAGGA